CGCGUAUGCAACUUGCCCUGCACAGGAGGAUAACCCGUCGAAAGACGGACUAAUACUGCGUACACUCACUGAGAGGCAUCUCUCGGUGAGGAAAGAAAUUCGGUGUAGGAUAGGCAUGCGUCCCAUUAGCUAGUUGGUGAGGUAACGGCUCACGAAGGCGACGAUGGGUAGGGGAACUGAGAGGUUUAUCCCCCACACUGGUACUGAGACACGGACCAGACUCCUACGGGAGGCAGCAGUGAGGAAUAUUGGUCAAUGGGCGAGAGCCUGAACCAGCCAAGUCGCGUGAAGGAUGACUGUCUUAUGGAUUGUAAACUUCUUUUGUAUGGGAAUAACGGGGCGGACGUGUCCGCUUGUGAAUGUACCAUACGAAUAAGCAUCGGCUAACUCCGUGCCAGCAGCCGCGGUAAUACGGAGGAUGCGAGCGUUAUCCGGAUUUAUUGGGUUUAAAGGGUGCGUAGGCGGCUUGUUAAGUCAGCGGUGAAAUCUUGGGGCUCAACCCCGAAACUGCCGUUGAAACUGGCGAGCUUGAGUGUAGAUGAAGUAGGCGGAAUUCGUGGUGUAACGGUGAAAU
Molecule: ribosomal RNA, 574 nt
Filed under: uncultured Porphyromonas sp.
Lineage: Bacteria; Pseudomonadati; Bacteroidota; Bacteroidia; Bacteroidales; Porphyromonadaceae
Description: bacterial SSU rRNA
Rfam family: Bacterial small subunit ribosomal RNA
Source: RNAcentral